CAGUGCGAUAAGGGGAUCCCGAGUGCACAGGCAUAGAGCCUGUGCUUUUCUGAACCGUAGGGAGGUUCAGAAACAAGAGCUGGGCAAGACCGGUGCCAGCCGCCGCGGUAAUACCGGCAGCUCGAGUGAUGGCCGAUCUUAUUGGGCCUAAAGCGUCCGUAGCUGGCCUUGCAAGUCCGUCGGGAAAUCCACCCGCUCAACGGGUGGGCGUCCGGCGGAAACUGUGAGGCUUGGGACCGGGAGGCUUGAAGGGUACGUCCGGGGUAGGAGUGAAAUCCUGUAAUCCUGGACGGACCGCCGAUGGGGAAACCACUUCAAGAGAACGGAUCCGACAGUGAGGGACGAAAGCUAGGGUCUCGAACCGGAUUAGAUACCCGGGUAGUCCUAGCUGUAAACGAUGCCUGUUAGGUGUGACUCCCACUACGAGUGGGUGUUGUGCCGUAGGGAAGCCGCUAAACAGGCCGCCUGGGAAGUACGUCUGCAAGGAUGAAACUUAAAGGAAUUGGCGGGGGAGCACUACAACCGGAGGAGCCUGCGGUUUAAUUGGACUCAACGCCGGACAUCUCACCAGCAUCGACUGUGGUAAUGACGGUCAGGUUGAUGACCUUACCCGAGCCACAGAGAGGAGGUGCAUGGCCGCCGUCAGCUCGUACCGUGAGGCGUCCUGUUAAGUCAGGCAACGAGCGAGACCCGCAUCCUUACUUGCCAGCAGCACCGCGAGGUGGCUGGGGACAGUAGGGAGACCGCCGUGGCUAACACGGAGGAAGGAACGGGCAACGGUAGGUCAGUAUGCCCCGAAUAUGCUGGGCAACACGCGGGCUACAAUGGUCGAGACAAUGGGUUCCAACGCCGAGAGGCGACGGUAAUCUCAGAAACUCGGUCGUAGUUCGGAUUGUGGACUGAAACUCGUCCACAUGAAGCUGGAUUCGGUAGUAAUCGCG
RNAcentral lists this ribosomal RNA (941 nucleotides) under uncultured archaeon. Its description in RNAcentral is "bacterial SSU rRNA". It matches the Rfam family "Archaeal small subunit ribosomal RNA", at positions 363 to 1302 of the family's 1478-position model. The record is from RNAcentral.